AUGAACGCUGGCGGCGUGCCUAAUACCUGCAAGUCGCGCGAACAGACGAGGAGCUUGCUCCUCUGACGUUAGCGGCGGACGGGUGAGUAACACGUGGAUAACCUACCUAUAAGACUGGGAUAACUUCGGGAAACCGGAGCUAAUACCGGAUAAUAUAUUGAACCGCAUGGUUCAAUAGUGAAAGACGGUUUUGCUGUCACUUAUAGAUGGAUCCGCGCCGCAUUAGCUAGUUGGUAAGGUAACGGCUUACCAAGGCGACGAUGCGUAGCCGACCUGAGAGGGUGAUCGGCCACACUGGAACUGAGACACGGUCCAGACUCCUACGGGAGGCAGCAGUAGGGAAUCUUCCGCAAUGGGCGAAAGCUUGACGGAGCAACGCCGCGUGAGUGAUGAAGGUCUUCGGAUCGUAAAACUCUGUUAUUAGGGAAGAACAAAUGUGUAAGUAACUAUGCACGUCUUGACGGUACCUAAUCAGAAAGCCACGGCUAACUACGUG
Molecule: ribosomal RNA, 496 nt
Filed under: uncultured bacterium
Lineage: Bacteria
Description: partial 16S ribosomal RNA
Rfam family: Bacterial small subunit ribosomal RNA
Source: RNAcentral